This 26-nucleotide transfer RNA is filed under the name Pseudechis australis (mulga snake). Its description in RNAcentral is "partial tRNA-His". Lineage: Eukaryota; Metazoa; Chordata; Lepidosauria; Squamata; Elapidae. The record is from RNAcentral.
UGUGUGUAAUUUAAAAAAAAUAACAA